GACGAACGCUGGCGGCGUGCUUAAUACAUGCAAGUCGAACGGAGAACCUCUUCGCUUGGUACCCGUGCCUAACGGGUGAGUAGCACGUUGGCAACCUGCCCCCGGCCCUUGGAUAACUCCAAGACUUUGGGACUAAUACCUUAUGCUCACCUCUUCCCUCAUGCGUGGUGGUGCAAAGGUUUUCCGGCUUGUUAUGGUCCCUCUGCCUAUCAGCUUGUCGGUGUGGUAGUGUCCUACCAAGGCGAAGAUGGCUAGCCGGCCUGCGAGGUUGACCGGGCACAAGAGGACUGAGAGACGGCGCAGACGCCUAUGGGAGGCAGCAGUGGAGAGUAUGGCGGAGUGAGGGGAAGCGUGACACAGAGACGCCGCGAUCGGGAUGACGGCCUUCGAGUUGUAAACAUCUGUGAGCGGAGACGAAGAGGAAGUGACGGUACCUGAAGAAGAAGCACCGGCUAACUACGUG
RNAcentral lists this ribosomal RNA (463 nucleotides) under uncultured bacterium. RNAcentral's name for it is "partial 16S ribosomal RNA". It matches the Rfam family "Bacterial small subunit ribosomal RNA", at positions 28 to 507 of the family's 1533-position model. The record is from RNAcentral.